This 56-nucleotide transfer RNA is filed under the name Hypophthalmichthys nobilis (bighead carp). Its description in RNAcentral is "partial tRNA-Leu". The record is from RNAcentral. Lineage: Eukaryota; Metazoa; Chordata; Actinopteri; Cypriniformes; Xenocyprididae.
GCUUCUGAAGGAUAACAGUUCAUCCAUUGGUCUUAGGAACCAAAAACUCUUGGUGC